CUCAGCACCAUUGUGGCAACACUGAAGCCUCCAAGAUGGCCUCAGCCAGGCUAACUUCAGAGUUGACAUAAAGACUGCCUUUUCCACAGAAUAGCCUCCACCCCAGUGGUGGUAUUCAUUUGGUUUUAUCCGAUUUGGGCGAACCGGUAGUGGUGCCUGUGGGAGGCUCUGCCCACCCAUCCGGAUGUCAUCAUGUCCCGUUUUUGAUGCUCUGCGCACACUCUCACUUUUGCAAACCGAUAGUGAAGUACACCAUGCAGAGACUGACAUUCGGACAAAGCUCUUGGGGAUCAUGCUGUAUAUGCCAGCUGGCACAUCUCACCCACAUUGUUUUCC
Long non-coding RNA from Pantherophis guttatus, 336 nucleotides. RefSeq lists it as uncharacterized. Lineage: Eukaryota; Metazoa; Chordata; Lepidosauria; Squamata; Colubridae. The record is from RefSeq and is a predicted model, not a curated record.